CCCCGGCUAGCUCUGUUAUUAGAGCAUGAGACUUGUAAUCUCAGGGUAGUGGGUUUGUGUCCCACAUCGGGUG
This 73-nucleotide transfer RNA is filed under the name Lepisosteus oculatus (spotted gar). It matches the Rfam family "tRNA". From Rfam's summary of the family: Transfer RNA (tRNA) molecules are approximately 80 nucleotides in length. Their secondary structure includes four short double-helical elements and three loops (D, anti-codon, and T loops). The record is from Rfam by way of RNAcentral. Lineage: Eukaryota; Metazoa; Chordata; Actinopteri; Semionotiformes; Lepisosteidae.